AGAGUUUGAUCAUGGCUCAGAUUGAACGCUGGCGGCAUGCUUUACACAUGCAAGUCGAACGGCAGCACAGGGGAGCUUGCUCCCGGGUGGCGAGUGGCGCACGGGUGAGUAAUACAUCGGAACGUGUCCUGUUNUGGGGGAUAACUGCUCGAAAGGGUGGCUAAUACCGCAUGAGACCUGAGGGUGAAAGCGGGGGAUCGCAAGACCUCGCGCAAUUGGAGCGGCCGAUGCCCGAUUAGCUAGUUGGUGAGGUAAAGGCUCACCAAGGCGACGAUCGGUAGCUGGUCUGAGAGGACGACCAGCCACACUGGGACUGAGACACGGCCCAGACUCCUACGAGAGGCAGCA
This 348-nucleotide ribosomal RNA is filed under the name uncultured bacterium. Its description in RNAcentral is "bacterial SSU rRNA". It matches the Rfam family "Bacterial small subunit ribosomal RNA", at positions 8 to 353 of the family's 1533-position model. The record is from RNAcentral.